GUCUACUACUUUGAUGGGAAGGUAUGUGGGAGUUUUCUUGGAUUGAAUUGUGGGGGCUUUUGUAAAAAUAGGAACAUUUUGGCCCAAUAAUUAGAAAAAAGGAACAUUUAGAAUGGGCUUAUAGGUUUGGGCAUAUGUUUGCAACAAAUAUGACGCUUUUGCCCUUCGUCUUCAACACCAUCGUCUUCAACACCAUUGUCCAGACAUCGAUUUUGACGAUUCAUAGUGUUAUUAACAACACCAUCGUCUUCAACAAAAUUUUCCAGCCAACAUGUCUAUUCUGAUUAACCCAAUCAAUCAAAAUAAAUGAUUUUUGAUUGAAGAAAUCUAAACCCUAAAGGGAUACUAUCUAGGGAACCCUUGGGUUCUAAUCUUAAACACUCCAAUUCAUUAUUAAUUCUAAACCAAAUUUGAUUUUUAUUGUCAAUAGAGUUCAUCAUCAUCGUCACCAACUAAUAACAGAGGAUUUGGAAAAGUAAUUCUAGAGAUCCAAACUAUCACCUUCGCUUCUCACUAUCGCUCAACUCACCAUCGUCGUUGAAACUCACCAUCGUCGCCAACGCUAAUUGGAGGUCGAGAUCUUGCCGUCUUUUUCAUCACGAGACAUGAUUCAUGAGUCACCGCCGUUGCUUCUUACCGUUGUCAAAAUCGUUGUUGUUGCAGGAGCUCAAUCACCAUUGUAGGUUCAGUGAGCCGGCCCGGGAGAAGCGUUGCCAAAAAAGAAUAAAGACAAAGGUAACAAAUAAACAAAGAAGACACAACAGUGAAUUCAUCUAAUCCAAAGUUGUAUGUGGUUUCCGAAAUGCUUCCUUUGUCUUGUUCCGAAUCUCUCUGUCGAUGAACUUGAAAAUGGUGUUUCACGUUCAUUCAAUAAAAAAUAACAACCAUAGUGUACACAGAGACUGAUAGUGAAAUAAAG
Molecule: small RNA, 919 nt
Filed under: Arabidopsis thaliana (thale cress)
Lineage: Eukaryota; Viridiplantae; Streptophyta; Magnoliopsida; Brassicales; Brassicaceae
Description: putative long intergenic non-coding RNA
Source: RNAcentral